UUUAAGGUCUAAUCUGCCCAAUGAGGAAUUAAAUGGCCGCGGUAUUUUGACCGUGCAAAGGUAGCAUAAUAAUUAGUUUUUUAAUUGAAAGCUGGAAUGAAUGAUUGGACGAGAAAAUAGCUGUCUCAGAUUAAUUUAAUUAGAAUUUUAUUUUUAAGUAAAAAAGCUUAAAUUAAUUUAAAAGACGAGAAGACCCUAUAGAGUUUUAUAAUUUUGUAUGUAUAUAGAUAUUUUUAGAAUUUUAAUUUUAAUAUGUAUAAGUUUAUUUUGUUGGGGUGAUAGAAAAAUUAAAUUAACUUUUUUUUUAAAUUUAAUACAUUGAUUUAUGAUUUAAUGAUCCAUUGUUUAUGAUUAUAAGAUUAAAUUACCUUAGGGAUAACAGCGUAAUUUUUUUUUAGAGUUCUUAUCGAAAAGAAAGAUUGCGACCUCGAUGUUGGAUUAAAAUAUACGUUUGGUGUAGGGGCUAAAUAGUUGGGUCUGUUCGACCUUUAAAAUUUUACA
RNAcentral lists this ribosomal RNA (501 nucleotides) under Trochalus sp. DA0991. RNAcentral's name for it is "partial 16S large subunit ribosomal RNA". It matches the Rfam family "Bacterial large subunit ribosomal RNA", at positions 1844 to 2600 of the family's 2925-position model. Lineage: Eukaryota; Metazoa; Arthropoda; Insecta; Coleoptera; Scarabaeidae. The record is from RNAcentral.